UGGGGAAUAUUGCACAAUGGGCGCAAGCCUGAUGCAGCCAUGCCGCGUGUGUGAAGAAGGCCUUCGGGUUGUAAAGCACUUUCAGCGGGGAGGAAGGCGAUAAGGUUAAUAACCUCAUCGAUUGACGUUACCCGCAGAAGAAGCACCGGCUAACUCCGUGCCAGCAGCCGCGGUAAUACGGAGGGUGCAAGCGUUAAUCGGAAUUACUGGGCGUAAAGCGCACGCAGGCGGUCUGUCAAGUCGGAUGUGAAAUCCCCGGGCUCAACCUGGGAACUGCAUUCGAAACUGGCAGGCUAGAGUCUUGUAGAGGGGUGUAGAAUUCCAGGUGUAGCGGUGAAAUGCUUAGAGAUCUGGAGGGAUACCGGUGGCGAAGGCGGCCCCCUGGACAAAGACUGACGCUCAGGUGCGAAAGCGUGGGGAGCAAACAGG
Molecule: ribosomal RNA, 429 nt
Filed under: Chloroflexota bacterium
Lineage: Bacteria; Bacillati; Chloroflexota
Description: Chloroflexi bacterium partial 16S ribosomal RNA
Rfam family: Bacterial small subunit ribosomal RNA
Source: RNAcentral